UACGAAGGGGGCUAGCGUUGCUCGGAAUCACUGGGCGUAAAGCGCACGUAGGCGGACUCUUAAGUCGGUGGUGAAAUCCUGGAGCUCAACUCCAGAACUGCCUUCGAUACUGAGAGUCUCGAGUCCGGGAGAGGUGAGUGGAACUGCGAGUGUAGAGGUGAAAUGCGUUGAUAUCAUCUGGAAUACCGGAGGCGAAGGCGGCUCACUGGGAGUUUUCUGACGCUGAGGAACGAAAGCCAGGGUAGCGAACGGG
Molecule: ribosomal RNA, 253 nt
Filed under: uncultured bacterium
Lineage: Bacteria
Description: partial 16S ribosomal RNA
Rfam family: Bacterial small subunit ribosomal RNA
Source: RNAcentral